RNAcentral lists this ribosomal RNA (384 nucleotides) under uncultured bacterium. RNAcentral's name for it is "bacterial SSU rRNA". It matches the Rfam family "Bacterial small subunit ribosomal RNA", at positions 29 to 414 of the family's 1533-position model. The record is from RNAcentral.
AUUGAACGCUGGCGGCAUGCCUUACACAUGCAAGUCGAACGGUAACGCGGGGGCAACCCUGGCGACGAGUGGCGAACGGGUGAGUAAUACAUCGGAACGUGUCCUGUUGUGGGGGAUAACCCAUCGAAAGGUGAGCUAAUACCGCAUGAUCUGGAGACAGCAAAGCAGGGGACCGGUAACGGCCUUGCGCGAUUGGAGCGGCCGAUGUCCGAUUAGCUAGUUGGUGGGGAAAGCCCACCAAGGCAACGAUCGGUAGCUGGUCUGAGAGGAUGAUCAGCCACACUGGGACUGAGACACGGCCCAGACUCCUACGGGAGGCAGCAGUGGGGAAUUUUGGACAAUGGGGGCAACCCUGAUCCAGCCAUGCCGCGUGAGUGAAGAAGG